AUGCAAGUCGAGCGGGGGAAGGUAGCUUGCUACCGGACCUAGCGGCGGACGGGUGAGUAAUGCUUAGGAAUCUGCCUAUUAGUGGGGGACAACAUCUCGAAAGGGAUGCUAAUACCGCAUACGUCCUACGGGAGAAAGCAGGGGAUCUUCGGACCUUGCGCUAAUAGAUGAGCCUAAGUCGGAUUAGCUAGUUGGUGGGGUAAAGGCCUACCAAGGCGACGAUCUGUAGCGGGUCUGAGAGGAUGAUCCGCCACACUGGGACUGAGACACGGCCCAGACUCCUACGGGAGGCAGCAGUGGGGAAUAUUGGACAAUGGGGGGAACCCUGAUCCAGCCAUGCCGCGUGUGUGAAGAAGGCCUUAUGGUUGUAAAGCACUUUAAGCGAGGAGGAGGCUACUUUAGUUAAUACCUAGAGAUAGUGGACGUUACUCGCAGAAUAAGCACCGGCUAACUCUGUGCCAGCAGCCGCGGUAAUACAGAGGGUGCGAGCGUUAAUCGGAUUUACUGGGCGUAAAGCGUGCGUAGGCGGCUUAUUAAGUCGGAUGUGAAAUCCCCGAGCUUAACUUGGGAAUUGCAUUCGAUACUGGUGAGCUAGAGUAUGGGAGAGGAUGGUAGAAUUCCAGGUGUAGCGGUGAAAUGCGUAGAGAUCUGGAGGAGUACCGAUGGCGAAGGCAGCCAUCUGGCCUAAUACUGACGCUGAGGUACGAAAGCAUGGGGAGCAAACAGGAUUAGAUACCCUGGUAGUCCAUGCCGUAAACGAUGUCUACUAGCCGUUGGGGCCUUUGAGGCUUUAGUGGCGCAGCUAACGCGAUAAGUAGACCGCCUGGGGAGUACGGUCGCAAGACUAAAACUCAAAUGAAUUGACGGGGGCCCGCACAAGCGGUGGAGCAUGUGGUUUAAUUCGAUGCAACGCGAAGAACCUUACCUGGCCUUGACAUACUAGAAACUUUCCAGAGAUGGAUUGGUGCCUUCGGGAAUCUAGAUACAGGUGCUGCAUGGCUGUCGUCAGCUCGUGUCGUGAGAUGUUGGGUUAAGUCCCGCAACGAGCGCAACCCUUUUCCUUACUUGCCAGCAUUUCGGAUGGGAACUUUAAGGAUACUGCCAGUGACAAACUGGAGGAAGGCGGGGACGACGUCAAGUCAUCAUGGCCCUUACGGCCAGGGCUACACACGUGCUACAAUGGUCGGUACAAAGGGUUGCUACACAGCGAUGUGAUGCUAAUCUCAAAAAGCCGAUCGUAGUCCGGAUUGGAGUCUGCAACUCGACUCCAUGAAGCCGGAAUCGCUAGUAAUCGCGGAUCAGAAUGCCGCGGUGAAUACGUUCCCGGGCCUUGUACACACCGCCCGUCACACCAUGGGAGUUUGUUGCACCAGAAGUAGCUAGCCUAACUGCAA
This 1394-nucleotide ribosomal RNA is filed under the name Acinetobacter baumannii OIFC143. RNAcentral's name for it is "16S ribosomal RNA". It matches the Rfam family "Bacterial small subunit ribosomal RNA". The record is from RNAcentral. Lineage: Bacteria; Pseudomonadati; Pseudomonadota; Gammaproteobacteria; Moraxellales; Moraxellaceae.